UACGUAGGGUGCAAGCGUUGUCCGGAAUUAUUGGGCGUAAAGAGCUCGUAGGCGGUUUGUCGCGUCUGCUGUGAAAACUCGGGGCUUAACUCCGGGCCUGCAGUGGGUACAGGCAGACUAGAGUGCGGUAGGGGAGACUGGAAUUCCUGGUGUAGCGGUGAAAUGCGCAGAUAUCAGGAGGAACACCGGUGGCGAAGGCGGGUCUCUGGGCCGUAACUGACGCUGGGGAGCGAAAGCGUGGGGAGCGAACAGG
Molecule: ribosomal RNA, 253 nt
Filed under: uncultured bacterium
Lineage: Bacteria
Description: partial 16S ribosomal RNA
Rfam family: Bacterial small subunit ribosomal RNA
Source: RNAcentral